GCAUCAAUGGUGGAACUGGUAUACACACAGCACUUAAAAUGCUGCGCCUUUUGGAUUGUGGGUUCGAAUCCCACUUGAUGCACCA
This 85-nucleotide transfer RNA is filed under the name Enterobacter ludwigii. RNAcentral's name for it is "tRNA-Leu". It matches the Rfam family "tRNA". Rfam says of the family: Transfer RNA (tRNA) molecules are approximately 80 nucleotides in length. The record is from RNAcentral. RNAcentral also lists the same sequence under 1 other name. Lineage: Bacteria; Pseudomonadati; Pseudomonadota; Gammaproteobacteria; Enterobacterales; Enterobacteriaceae.